GAAGAGGAAGUGAGAUUUGGCAGAUUACUGGUUCCGGUUCAAUCUUCUGAACCAACCGCGAAACCUUCGCCAAUCGAUGAUAUCCGUAAUGGAUUGUCUUCUUAUUCUCGCAGUCGGGGCAUCUCUGCCGGUUGAGGGCACCGGCCUUCCUCCGGUGGAGCUCUGCCUUGUUCUGACACCAACAACAAGCACUGAUUACCUGCGUUGCGUUUGCGUGACGCAUCCACAGAUCCGAUAGAGUUUGGAUUCCGCACAAGGGUUCUUCAACCCUUAAAUAGCCGCGUAUUCAAACUAGCCGAUCAUACGCUCCUUGCCUUCGUCACAUCCGUUCCAUCCAAGCAGUGUGGAAGAGGAAGUGAGAUUUGGCAGAUUACUGGUUCCGGUUCAAUCUUCUGAACCAACCGCGAAACCUUCGCCAACCGAUGAUAUCCGUAAUGGAUUGUCUUCUUAUUCUCGCAGUCGGGGCAUCUCUGCCGGUUGAGGGCACCGGCCUUCCUCCGGUGGAGCUCUGCCUUGUUCUGACACCAACAAGCACUGAUUACCUGCGUUGCGUUUGCGUGACGCAUCCACAGAUCCGACAGAGUUUGGAUUUCGUCAGUCAGUGAUCUGUCUGGCCCUCAUCGACUCUGCCUUGUUGAUCAUCACUGAUUAUAGCCCACACGAAAAUCGACCCUUGAACUUGUUUGGAAUAAUAUUCCCUGUUGAAUAUCAUAGUCGAUGGAUUAAUUCUAUCGGUGUUGCAGUUUUGACCUAAACAAACGGCCCUUUUCAGGGCCACCAAUAUGUUAAAGAGUUGACGAAUAAAUAUAUUCCCUAGCAAAUAAAUUAUAAACCCAAAACUGCUGCACAAUAUCGUACCCUAAAUGUUACAAAUACGUAAUUAGAAAUUAUAAAUGUUGAG
Molecule: long non-coding RNA, 901 nt
Organism: Aedes aegypti (yellow fever mosquito)
Lineage: Eukaryota; Metazoa; Arthropoda; Insecta; Diptera; Culicidae
Exons: 3
Source: RefSeq, a predicted model, not a curated record